Long non-coding RNA from Homarus americanus (American lobster), 441 nucleotides. RefSeq lists it as uncharacterized. The transcript has 3 exons. The record is from RefSeq and is a predicted model, not a curated record. Lineage: Eukaryota; Metazoa; Arthropoda; Malacostraca; Decapoda; Nephropidae.
GCCCUUGAGAUCAAAUACGCGGAGAUGUUAGUGUAGAAGUCACAAUCGUGUUGGCCACUGUGCUGAGAAGGUGAACAAGUGAAAAUUCGAUUGAACAUUUUUAUAAAAGUGUCAUUUCCAUCUGUACUAAUCUCAGAAUCGAACGACGAACCAGAACCAGGCCAAUAAGACUGCAUAUGAGGUGUAAUGGCCUCAGGAGGCAGCAGUGUGACUCAGUGGCGUUUGGUGGCACAGGUACGUGACUAUAUUGCCCGCACCACACCAGCCCUGGCCACCCUUCAGAGAUCUGCCACAACUCUUGAAGAAGGUACAUGGGGCAUUUCAGACCAGAGCAGAAACCAAUUCCCCCAAUUCAGGGGUAAAUAACUUCCAAGAUGAAAAUGGAGCCAAGAACAAUAGUGCCUUGAAACCUUUAGGUUAGUUUUGAAUUUUAUUUAUAAA